Molecule: long non-coding RNA, 923 nt
Organism: Passer domesticus (house sparrow)
Lineage: Eukaryota; Metazoa; Chordata; Aves; Passeriformes; Passeridae
Exons: 3
Source: RefSeq, a predicted model, not a curated record
GCAGAGCAGUGGGGAAAGGCUGCUGCUCUCCCAGUGCUGGCCAACACCUCCUCCACACAGACUGAGCUGCUGAAGGCAGAGGUUGGGUCUGGGGAUGUCACACCAGUGCCCUGACAAAAGGACAGCCCUGUCCUGGGGCACAGCCAGCCCAGCAAGGGAGGGGAUUGCCCACUUCACCUGGAGCUCUGGGGGCAGUUUUGGAGGAUUUAAUAAGGAGGAUUUAAAGAACUCCAAAGAGAUGAGAAGAUUGCUAUGUGAGGUGCUGUUUAUUCCCAGUGAAAGAUAUGGUUUCUGGACAAGGAAAGAGCAAUUUGAUAGAUAUCUAGAGAAGAAAAUCCAGCUUUAUGUUGAUAGUCAUGGUCUUCAGCCUGAGGAAAGCCCAGUCCCUAUGAAAUAAAAACAGACAAACAAAAAAUUGUUAAUUCCAUGCUGUAAGGCAAUUCUGCCCAUCCACAGAAAACAGCAGAUCAACCCCAGAUUUCAAGACUGAAAAUUAUCUUUAUUUCAAACCACUGCAACAAAUAGCUAAGUAGUGAACCAACCAGUGAGGAGAAAUAAAAGAAGAGCCUUACAACAUAUCCAAAAUAUAUGGCUUGAGUUUGACUUUCCUGUAAUGCAAGUGAAAAAUCUGAAUUAGUCAUUUUGAAAUGAAGCAAUAAACAUUUUGUCACUCCAAAAAUGCCAGCCUAAGGCAUGAUGAUUUGAUGUUGCUAUGCCUAUUUUACUAAGUGAAAUCCAAUGGAAAGCAGAUUUGUUUAAUGACUUUUAUUUUCUUAAUGUCAUUUAGUUCCCCUGAGGUUUCUGUAAAUUCUUCUGUACUGCAAACUCUCUUCAAAGCAGAAGAAAUUCUGGAUUGAAGAUCUUCUGGAAAAUUAUUUUAUCAACUGACCCACAUCACUGUCAGAAUGAUUUUAUUCAAGAGA